This 662-nucleotide ribosomal RNA is filed under the name uncultured bacterium. RNAcentral describes it as "bacterial SSU rRNA". It matches the Rfam family "Bacterial small subunit ribosomal RNA", at positions 188 to 848 of the family's 1533-position model. The record is from RNAcentral.
GCAUGGAGAGUUCAUUAAAGAGAGCAAUUUUGGUUACAGACGAGCAUGCGCUCCAUUAGCCAGUUGGCGGGGUAACGGCCCACCAAAGCGACGAUGGAUAGGGGUUCUGAGAGGAAGGUCCCCCUCAUUGGAACUGAGACACGGUCCAAACUCCUACGGGAGGCAGCAGUGAGGAAUAUUGGUCAAUGGUCGGCAGACUGAACCAGCCAAGUCGCGUGAGGGAAGACGGCCCUACGGGUUGUAAACCUCUUUUGUCGGAGAGUAAAGUACGCUACGCGUAGCGUAUUGCAAGUAUCCGAAGAAAAAGCAUCGGCUAACUCCGUGCCAGCAGCCGCGGUAAUACGGAGGAUGCGAGCGUUAUCCGGAUUUAUUGGGUUUAAAGGGUGCGUAGGCGGCACGCCAAGUCAGCGGUGAAAUUUCCGGGCUCAACCCGGAGUGUGCCGUUGAAACUGGCGAGCUAGAGUGCACAAGAGGCAGGCGGAAUGCGUGGUGUAGCGGUGAAAUGCAUAGAUAUCACGCAGAACCCCGAUUGCGAAGGCAGCCUGCUAGGGUGCGACAGACGCUGAGGCACGAAAGCGUGGGUAUCGAACAGGAUUAGAUACCCUGGUAGUCCACGCAGUAAACGAUGAAUACUAACUGUUUGCGAUACAAUGUAAGCGGUA